GCCAGUGUGGUGUAGUGGUUUCGGCACUGGACUAAAACUCUGGAGGCCGGGCUUCAAAUCCAUGCUCAGCCA
Molecule: non-coding RNA, 72 nt
Organism: Phrynosoma platyrhinos (Desert horned lizard)
Lineage: Eukaryota; Metazoa; Chordata; Lepidosauria; Squamata; Phrynosomatidae
Source: the annotation of a GenBank genome assembly